CUCUGGGUGGUAUAAACAGUUAGUGUAUUUGGCUGCUAACCAAAAGGUUGGAGGUUCAAGUCCACCCAGGGG
RNAcentral lists this transfer RNA (72 nucleotides) under Loxodonta africana (African savanna elephant). It matches the Rfam family "tRNA". Rfam says of the family: Transfer RNA (tRNA) molecules are approximately 80 nucleotides in length. Their secondary structure includes four short double-helical elements and three loops (D, anti-codon, and T loops). The record is from Rfam by way of RNAcentral. Lineage: Eukaryota; Metazoa; Chordata; Mammalia; Proboscidea; Elephantidae.